UGUAACAGCAACUCCAUGUGGAA
This 23-nucleotide non-coding RNA is filed under the name Lepisosteus oculatus (spotted gar). Lineage: Eukaryota; Metazoa; Chordata; Actinopteri; Semionotiformes; Lepisosteidae. RNAcentral also lists the same sequence under 31 other names. The record is from RNAcentral.